CUUCCUCGUGUCUUGAGAGAAAAGGAUCCUGAAACUGCUGUUUUGUUUCCAUUAACAUGAAUGAUGCACCCUACAUUUUCCCUAACCUCUAACCUGAUGGAAUGACUAAACAAACAGUAGUUUGAAUUCUUCUUUUCUUUAAUAAACUCUCGAAUUUCAGGAGGGCCGGCGUAUUUCUGUGUCAGAAGUGGUGACGGAUCUCAAAUCUCUGUAGGAAUAGUAUUUCAUGUGCCAUGUGGUUUGCAAAACAGCUGCCAAUAAAAAGCCCUAUUGUAUGUAUGUGACCUGCACACGUAACAAGAGACUGUCACAGAAUUUUUACAGCCCAAACAGACAAAGGACGGGAGAAGAAAUAGAGGCACAAACUGUAUUCUGCGAUCAAGAUCUCCCAGAAUCUUUGGAAGAGCCAGGUCAUCUAGGCUCCAUGCUUGCCAGACUCCUAGUCCUUUGGAAAGUUCUUCAAAGUCAAAUAUGUGUUUACAAGGUGAGCUUGCAGGUGCUGUAAGAAGUUCUGAGAUAAUGUGCUCGUCUCCUUCGGUGCAGCUGCCUAUUUCUAGCAGAAGAAUUGAAUUAAUUGAAUAUUUGAAGAAUUGCUUAACUGAAUAUUUAAAGCUGCUUGUCAGGAUACUUAAGAUGAGAACUGUGUCAGCCACUCCUGAUAACAGAGAGCCUUGGGCCUGGUGGAUGGGGAGAACAGCUUGGAAAGGUGGCGAAGUGCAGUGAAAAGUCACCUCUUCAAACUGCAAGUAUAAUCUGCUGCAAAGGUGUGGAAAUGCAAACAUAAAUCAUUUCUACUGUUUCUUGUCUCAGAGGAGCGUGAGUGCUGUACAAAAAACAAUGACUGUACUUGUAACUGAAUGCUUUAUUUUAUGUAUGUUCUCAUCUAAUAUGUUCGCAGUAUGUACAUUGUACAUGUAACACUAUACAAAUUUCUAUAUAAUGAUUUAUUAGAAACCCACAUCUUUAGAAAACUGAUAUUUUAC
This 983-nucleotide long non-coding RNA is filed under the name Anas zonorhyncha (Eastern spot-billed duck). RNAcentral describes it as "lncRNA (ENSAZOG00000002070.1)". Lineage: Eukaryota; Metazoa; Chordata; Aves; Anseriformes; Anatidae. The record is from RNAcentral.